This 266-nucleotide ribosomal RNA is filed under the name uncultured bacterium. Its description in RNAcentral is "partial 16S ribosomal RNA". It matches the Rfam family "Bacterial small subunit ribosomal RNA", at positions 92 to 354 of the family's 1533-position model. The record is from RNAcentral.
CGACCGGCGCACGGGUGAGUAACACGUAUGGAACCUGCCCUAUGCAGGGGGAUAAGCGGAAGAAAUUCCGUCUAAUACCGCAUAACACCUUUAGGAGACACCUUCUUGGGGUCAAAGGAGGCGACUCCGGCAUAGGAUGGCCAUGCGUCGCAUUAGCUAGUCGGCGGGGUAACGGCCCACCGAGGCGACGAUGCGUAGGGGUUCUGAGAGGAAGGUCCCCCACACUGGUACUGAGACACGGACCAGACUCCUACGGAAGGCAGCAG